AGGUAUUGGUAAGUCAAGUGAUAAUUUUAUGAUUAUCACUGUCCCAUUCUUUGAAACGAGUGUUAAAUUUUUUAGAAGAUUCUCCUUCAACAGCAACAAGGAUAGUGAUAUCACCAGUGAUAUAUUUCCAAAGUUUACGAUCACGGAGAAAAUAUAAAUAGGUUGAGAAACAUCAUCUUGAGCCAUUGGAGAUGACAAAUAACCAAAAAUAUACACAAAGGAGUGGACAAAUAACAGUAUAGUACUGAUGAACUAGAUAAAGCGAACUAGAUUUGGUCAAAUGACGAUGACGUCAACAGAUACAAUUUGCAAGGUGUGGACCUGAGCAAUACACGAACCGGAGCAAAAGAGUAUUGAUGUACAAGAACUAGAGAUGCAAUUAAACAUCCAAGGACUAAAUUGGCUUGUGGACCAGAUUAUCACAAGCACUAUACUGAUUAGAGAACUAAAUUGACUUCAAAAGCAAAACAUGAACAUGCUUGGCAUAUGAUAGAGAUUGACAGACUGUGCAUGCAAGAUUGAAA
RNAcentral lists this long non-coding RNA (524 nucleotides) under Coffea arabica (coffee). RNAcentral's name for it is "long non-coding RNA (CARA_LNC008424)". The record is from RNAcentral. Lineage: Eukaryota; Viridiplantae; Streptophyta; Magnoliopsida; Gentianales; Rubiaceae.